This is a long non-coding RNA of Paramormyrops kingsleyae, 573 nucleotides long. RefSeq lists it as uncharacterized. Lineage: Eukaryota; Metazoa; Chordata; Actinopteri; Osteoglossiformes; Mormyridae. The record is from RefSeq and is a predicted model, not a curated record.
ACGUCCCACUGAGAGACAGUGAUGAAAAGGGAUAAAUGGCCGAGGGCUUGGAGUGAGACAGCCAGCUGCAGCUGUGUGGGGGUUAUGGUGAAUAUGCAGCUUAUUCCAGCAUGGACAAGGCAGAAAGUCACCUGGACAGGGUGUCCCUCAAAGGCUCCACACUUAAAUACACAACAAUAUGUUGAGUUAGAGACACCAGUAUGCCUCCAGUGAAGGAGCCAGAGGAGGGCACAGGCCAGGAUACACUCUGGGCAGAAGGCCUGUCCAUCACUGGGCACACUCUGGGCAGAAGGCCUGCCCAUCACUGGGCACACUCCGGGCAGAAGGCCUGCCCAUCACUGGGCACACUUCGGGCAGAAGGCCUGUCCAUCACAGUGCACAAGGAAAGGGGCACUCUGUAUGGGAUGCCAGUCCAUCAUGUGGCACGUAAUUACACACAGUAACCCAUUUGAGGUAAUUUUGAGAUGCCUGGCUUUGGAUUGGGAAGAACAGGCAAAUUAAACAUAUAGUUAAUGACAUCGGUAUGUGGUUCCUUUUACCAUUCUUCAGUUCUGCGGUGUUGUUCUUAUAUAA